RNAcentral lists this non-coding RNA (45 nucleotides) under Echinostoma caproni. The record is from RNAcentral. Lineage: Eukaryota; Metazoa; Platyhelminthes; Trematoda; Plagiorchiida; Echinostomatidae.
GCGCUGCUGACGAGUCUAAAACAGGACGAAGCAGCUGUCCAGUAC